GUUGAACGCUGGCGGCAUGCCUAACACAUGCAAGUCGAGCGGAUGAUUGUUGCUUGCAACUAUUUUUAGCGGCGGACGGGUGAGUAACGCCUAGGUAUCUUCCCGUUAGCAAGGGGUUACGACUGAGAAAGGAUGCUUAUUCCGCAAUCGUCCUGCACUAGCACGUGGUGGAGCUUGAGACGAUGUACCGGUUUAUGAGCGGAGCGCGUAUGAUCAGGUUGUUGGAGAGGUAACGGCGCACCAAGGCGACGAUCAGUAGCAGACCUGAGAGGGUGAUCGGCCACAUUGGGACUGAGACACGGCCCAAACGCCUACGGGAGGCAGCAGUGGGGAAUAUUGCACAAUGGAGGAAACUCUGAUGCAGCAACGCCGCGUGAAGGAAGAAGGUUGUCGGAUCGUAAACGUCUAUCUACAGGGAAGAAAAAAAUGACGGUACCUGAGUAAGAAGCCCCGGCUAACUACGUG
This 465-nucleotide ribosomal RNA is filed under the name uncultured bacterium. RNAcentral's name for it is "partial 16S ribosomal RNA". It matches the Rfam family "Bacterial small subunit ribosomal RNA", at positions 28 to 507 of the family's 1533-position model. The record is from RNAcentral.